GAAACUCAGUUCAGAACUCACCGGAGCUGCCGUCUGGGAGGGGGGAGGGCGGAAGAACCCUGAGGUUUUUCCUCACAUUUCUGUCCCAUUUUUGGAACCUCUGGAUUUAAAGAAAUGAAAACCUCAAGUUUGUGGAGAUUUUAAGAAAUGGUUAUUCCAAUGGAAACAGCUGGAGAACUUAUAUUUCCGUGAGAAAAAAUUUGCUGUUGAAGUUCAUGAUCCACGAAGGAUUUCAGUUUCAAGAAGAACCUUUGGGCAAAGUGGCUUGUUUGUGCAAACAUGGUAUGCUAACUCUUCUCUCAUCAAGUCCAUUUGGGUAAUGGCAAUUAGUCAGCAUCAGUUUUACUUGGACCGGAAGCAAAGCAAAGUAAGUAACUGGCAUCAUUUCUAUAGGGACAGAUUCCCCUUUUGCAUUCUGUUCAGAAGAUAAGCCUUCUCACAAAAGAUGCAAGCACAUAUAUUUUUGCUCUCUGAGAUUUUUUUGCGUUUAACUUCCAACUAUUUCAGGUUUUUUAUAUGUUUACAUGAUGGGCAAUAUAUAAGCUGCU
Molecule: long non-coding RNA, 548 nt
Filed under: Homo sapiens (human)
Lineage: Eukaryota; Metazoa; Chordata; Mammalia; Primates; Hominidae
Description: non-protein coding lnc-LMOD3-1:2
Source: RNAcentral